Toxorhynchites rutilus septentrionalis is the source of this 1393-nucleotide long non-coding RNA. RefSeq lists it as uncharacterized. The record is from RefSeq and is a predicted model, not a curated record. The transcript is spliced from 4 exons. Lineage: Eukaryota; Metazoa; Arthropoda; Insecta; Diptera; Culicidae.
GUGAGAACCGCAUUUGAAGUGUUCUACACACCGCUCACUAGGCAGGGCUCUCAGCCAGAUAGCGAAGGUACAAACCCAUUGUCGGAGUUGGGUUUUUUCCGCUUCCCUCCAACAAUAGGCUUGAACACUCGGCUAAAGGCGAUGGUCAGUCUUUCUGCCUAGAACUAUGAACGGGAGUAGAAGUGCGCGUCGGGUGUAGCAUAAAUGAAAAAAAAGAAACAGUUAGUGGAAGGAAUUGUAGAAUAAUUGAGUUUGUGAAAAAAAGAAAUAGGAACCUGAAAAAUAAUUAAUUAUACACUUACCUGGAAACCCUGAAAAAGAAAAAAAAAACUGAAAAAAAGGUCCGCACAGUGGGCCUUUUUUUAUGUCUUCUCCAAAAUAGGCAUCAACCACAACUUUCUAGGCCGAAAGUGUAGAGAGCCACCAACAAACUCAAGCGAUUGGCUUACAGCAAGACCGAGCACUCUAACCGCAACUUUUACAACCGAUUGCGAAGGACAAUCGAACCUGGACAGACGUGUCCCAGAGGACGAAACAGGAAGACAUAUUCACACAAGGAUAUGGAUAAACAACGUAUCACACCAAAUUGAGGACCACACCACAUUGAGGACCACACCACAUUGCUCAAAUACAUAACGAUUGCGCAAGUAUACAAAACCAUAAACUGUGACGUCACAAAUAGUAAAGUAUAUCAAAACACAUAGAAAAGUAUAUGUUUAGAAUUAAAUUAAAAGUAAAAGAAGUAUUUACACCUAGAAUUUAUAUAGUACGCCACUACAAACAUAAUACACGUGUAAGAAAUUAAAAGUUUGGUUUACAUAAAUUUUCGUUUGUACACAUAUUUCCGUAUUUCUGUUUGUCGUUUUCCCGAACUCAAAAGGAGUUGUCAGGCCUCGCCCGCUCUAGUUUGGCAGGAAUCGUGUGCCAUCGUCAGCCUUUGAGGAAGUUGGAAAACGGCUGAGGGUUCUGUCCCUUGUUGCGUGUGUAUAACACUUUUAGGAAAUUAAACCCGAGCUCCCGAUUAACAGCUAGAUGCUGCCGGUGAGUGCUGGGAGAACGACCCUGUGGUUUUCUCAUCAUGCUCUUUGAGCUAGACACUCAUAGUCACUCACGAGUAACGAACAGGAAGUUACAAAUUGGCGCCCAACAAAAACACACACAUACACACGAACACGGAUAAGUUAGGAACUGAACGGUUACACUAUCCCCCCAUAGAGGGAGGAAUAAAAUACUUCGUAUUAUUCAUUUUCUUCUUUAUCGUUCUCCAAACGUUUUCAUAGAUAAUUUCUCAAUAUAUACAUUAUUUUCAUUCAUACAUUUAGUGUUAUAUGUUAUUUGCAUGUUCAUGUAUAUGAAAAAUAUUUAUUAUUUAUGUAUAUCUGUAUUCAUUCGA